RNAcentral lists this transfer RNA (136 nucleotides) under Aureobasidium namibiae CBS 147.97. It matches the Rfam family "tRNA". Rfam says of the family: Transfer RNA (tRNA) molecules are approximately 80 nucleotides in length. Their secondary structure includes four short double-helical elements and three loops (D, anti-codon, and T loops). Further hydrogen bonds mediate the characteristic L-shaped molecular structure. tRNAs have two regions of fundamental functional importance: the anti-codon, which is responsible for specific mRNA codon recognition, and the 3' end, to which the tRNAs corresponding amino acid is attached (by aminoacyl-tRNA synthetases). tRNAs cope with the degeneracy of the genetic code in two manners: having more than one tRNA (with a specific anti-codon) for a particular amino acid; and 'wobble' base-pairing, i.e. permitting non-standard base-pairing at the 3rd anti-codon position. Lineage: Eukaryota; Fungi; Ascomycota; Dothideomycetes; Dothideales; Saccotheciaceae. The record is from Rfam by way of RNAcentral.
GGAGCUUUGGCCGAGUGGUUAAGGCGCUAGCUUUAGGAGGCUUCAAGCGCGUUCAAAGUCUAUGGCCGAGAAUUGCUUGAUAUAUAUCUUAAACCGCUAGUUCGAAAGAGCGUGGGUUCGAACCCCACAGGCUUCA